RNAcentral lists this ribosomal RNA (205 nucleotides) under Escherichia coli. RNAcentral describes it as "partial 23S ribosomal RNA". It matches the Rfam family "Bacterial large subunit ribosomal RNA", at positions 2744 to 2925 of the family's 2925-position model. The record is from RNAcentral. Lineage: Bacteria; Pseudomonadati; Pseudomonadota; Gammaproteobacteria; Enterobacterales; Enterobacteriaceae.
GGUAGCUAAAUGCGGAAGAGAUAAGUGCUGAAAGCAUCUAAGCACGAAACUUGCCCCGAGAUGAGUUCUCCCUGACUCCUUGAGAGUCCUGAAGGAACGUUGAAGACGACGACGUUGAUAGGCCGGGUGUGUAAGCGCAGCGAUGCGUUGAGCUAACCGGUACUAAUGAACCGUGAGGCUUAACCUUACAACGCCGAAGGUGUUU